GGUUUGGCUUUCUUGGAUUCCACAGUUAUUACUUUCGUUGCAGAGGACAGAAGCUCCACAUUGCAAGCUUGUUCUUAUGAAAGUUGCUACUGUCUUUCCACAGGCAUUGUAUUACUGGUUGAGAACAUAUUUGCUUGAGCGUCGGGAUGUCGCAAGUAAGUCUGAAUAUGGCAGAAUGGCAAUGGCACAGCAAAGAAUGCAGCAAAAUGUU
This 211-nucleotide unclassified non-coding RNA is filed under the name Hevea brasiliensis (rubber tree). Lineage: Eukaryota; Viridiplantae; Streptophyta; Magnoliopsida; Malpighiales; Euphorbiaceae. The record is from RNAcentral.